This 951-nucleotide long non-coding RNA is filed under the name Zostera marina. Its description in RNAcentral is "long non-coding RNA (ZMAR_LNC004314)". The record is from RNAcentral. Lineage: Eukaryota; Viridiplantae; Streptophyta; Magnoliopsida; Alismatales; Zosteraceae.
UUAAAACAAAGAUAACAGAUUACAAGGUAUAUAAAGAACGGGACAGGCAGUUUGGAGAGCAUCGGAAAAUUAUUUUUCCAUUUGUGAGUUUACAAUUUUCUGCUCUUCUCAAAUCGUUCUCAGUGCUUGGAUUUCUUUUCUGUUUCAAUCUGGUAAUUUCUUGUGUUUGCUGUUCUCAUUUCUCAGGUAUCAUCCCAGAUCUUGUUAAAUUUUUGUUUCAUCAUCUUCCUGUUUCAAUUUCCAGAAUCAAGUAAUCUCUUCAAAAUUCAUUUUCAAUUUCUGUUGUAAACUGUAAAUGUGUUUUCUAUCGUUGUAUACAAAUCUAUUGGAUUCUAGUCCGUUUCAAUUUGUUUAGUUUAGUAAACUUUCUUUAAACAAUUUGUUUCAAUUUCUUUAAAUCAAUGUUUCUUUAAAUCAAUAACAGAUUGCAAUCAAUCGGCAAGAAAUCGCGAUGAUGAGCUGCAGACGGUGAGAAAUCGCGAGAAGCUACAAACAAUCACGAACUGCAAUUGAUCGGCGAGCAAUUAGACAGUGAGCAGGCGGCGAGAAAUCGCGAUGAAAUCCACGCAAUGAAAUCGCGAUGAAACAUACUGAAAGUCACACGCAAAAUCGGCGAGCACUAGAUCGGCUAAAAUCAGGGAUGCGAGACGCCAAAUCGGGAAAAUCCGCGAGAUUGAAGCAACGGAAAUCACCAAAUCGCUCUUCUUUUUCUCUCUCUUUUUUUUCAAGAAGGGGAAAAUCAACUAAGUUGAACAACAACAGACUGAUACCAUAUCAAACAACUCGAAAUUUAUUUGAAAUCCCAAAAUGAAAAUGUAAUUUCAUUAACCACAAAUGUGAGUUUAACAAGAGUAUUUAAAAGAAAAUUUCUAACUAAUAUAAGGACAAUUAACAAGAGUAAUUAACCACAUUAUUAACUAACUAAACCAUUACUAAGUAUUGUAUCAAUUG